UACGUAGGGCGCAAGCGUUGUCCGGAAUUAUUGGGCGUAAAGAGCUCGUAGGCGGCUUGUCACGUCGGGUGUGAAAGCCCGGGGCUUAACCCCGGGUCUGCAUUCGAUACGGGCUGGCUAGAGUGUGGUAGGGGAGAUCGGAAUUCCUGGUGUAGCGGUGAAAUGCGCAGAUAUCAGGAGGAACACCGGUGGCGAAGGCGGGUAGCUGGGCCGAUACUGACGCUGAGGAGCGAAAGCGUGGGGAGCGAACAGG
This 253-nucleotide ribosomal RNA is filed under the name uncultured bacterium. Its description in RNAcentral is "partial 16S ribosomal RNA". It matches the Rfam family "Bacterial small subunit ribosomal RNA", at positions 524 to 776 of the family's 1533-position model. The record is from RNAcentral.